GACGAACGCUGGCGGCGUGCUUAACACAUGCAAGUCGAACGGAAAGGCCCUGCUUUUGUGGGGUGCUCGAGUGGCGAACGGGUGAGUAACACGUGAGUAACCUGCCCUUGACUUUGGGAUAACUUCAGGAAACUGGGGCUAAUACCGGAUAGGAGCUCCUGCUGCAUGGUGGGGGUUGGAAAGUUUCGGCGGUUGGGGAUGGACUCGCGGCUUAUCAGCUUGUUGGUGGGGUAGUGGCUUACCAAGGCUUUGACGGGUAGCCGGCCUGAGAGGGUGACCGGCGACAUUGGGACUGAGAGACGGCCCAGACGCCUACGGGCGGCAGCAGGGGGGAAUAUUGCACAAUGGGCGGGAGCCUGAUGCAGCAACCCCGCGUGCGGGAUGACGGCCUUCGGGGUGUAAACCGCUUUCGCCUGUGACGAAGCGGGAGUGACGGUAAUGGGUAAAGAAGCACCGGCUAACUACGUG
Molecule: ribosomal RNA, 468 nt
Filed under: uncultured bacterium
Lineage: Bacteria
Description: partial 16S ribosomal RNA
Rfam family: Bacterial small subunit ribosomal RNA
Source: RNAcentral